UCUUCUUCUUCUUCUUCCUCA
Molecule: microRNA, 21 nt
Filed under: Shrimp white spot syndrome virus
Lineage: Naldaviricetes; Nimaviridae
Description: microRNA R838
Source: RNAcentral